This 471-nucleotide ribosomal RNA is filed under the name Ditylum brightwellii. RNAcentral describes it as "partial Bacterial large subunit ribosomal RNA". It matches the Rfam family "Bacterial large subunit ribosomal RNA", at positions 2480 to 2925 of the family's 2925-position model. Lineage: Eukaryota; Bacillariophyta; Thalassiosirophyceae; Lithodesmiales; Lithodesmiaceae. The record is from RNAcentral.
GGCUGAUCUCCCCCAAGAGUUCACAUCGACGGGGUGGUUUGGCACCUCGAUGUCGGCUCGUCGCAUCCUGGGGCUGGAGUAGAUCGCAUCCUGGGGCGGUAGUACGUCCCAAGGGUUGGGCUGUUCGCCCAUGAAAGCGGUACGCGAGCUGGGUUCAGAACGUCGUGAGACAGUUCGGUCCAUAUCCGGUGUAGGCGUUAGAAUAUUGAGAGGAGCCUUCUUUAGUACGAGAGGACCGAGAAGGACAUACCUCUGGUGUACCAGUUAUCGUGCCAACGGUAAACGCUGGGUAGCUAUGUAUGGAGUGGAUAACCGCUGAAAGCAUCUAAGCGGGAAGCCUCCUUCGAGACGAGAUCUCCCUUAGGACUUGAUCCUACUAAAGUGCCGUUCAAGACUAGGACGUUGAUAGGCUGGGUGUGUAAGUGCAGCGAUGCAUUGAGCUAACCAGUACUAAUUGCACGUGAGGCUUGA